Molecule: ribosomal RNA, 253 nt
Filed under: uncultured bacterium
Lineage: Bacteria
Description: partial 16S ribosomal RNA
Rfam family: Bacterial small subunit ribosomal RNA
Source: RNAcentral
GACGAAGGGGGCUAGCGUUGUUCGGAAUUACUGGGCGUAAAGCGCGUGUAGGCGGUUGUUCGAGUCAGGUGUGAAAGCCUUGAGCUCAACUCAAGAAAUGCACUUGAUACUGGAUGACUAGAGGACCGGAGAGGAUAGUGGAAUUCCCAGUGUAGUGGUGAAAUACGUAGAGAUUGGGAAGAACACCAGUGGCGAAGGCGGCUAUCUGGACGGUUUCUGACGCUAAGACGCGAAAGCGUGGGGAGCAAACAGG